RNAcentral lists this unclassified non-coding RNA (344 nucleotides) under uncultured fungus. RNAcentral's name for it is "partial contains 5.8S ribosomal RNA and internal transcribed spacer 2". The stretch from base 1 to 133 matches the Rfam family "5.8S ribosomal RNA", at positions 22 to 154 of the family's 154-position model. The record is from RNAcentral. Lineage: Eukaryota; Fungi.
UGGCUCUGGCAUCGAUGAAGAACGCAGCAAAAUGCGAUAAGUAAUGUGAAUUGCAGAACUCAGUGAAUCAUCGAAUCUUUGAACGCACAUUGCGCCUCCCGGCAUUCCGGAAGGCAUGCCCGUCCGAGCGUCAUUUCACCACUCAAGCCCCGGCUUGGUAUUGGGCGCCGCGGCCUCCCCCGCGCGCCCCGAAUCUCUGCCUCCGUCUGCCUGCCACCGAGCGUCGUGGAUCUUCGCCCGCUCCGGCGUGCGGCAGUCGGCCGGCCCGUCAUGGAUAAUGGUGCGUCGCCCCCGGGCGCGCACUCCUCAAGGUUGACCUCGGAUCGGGUAGGGUUACCCGCUGA